AGGCUGGGAGUUUGCAUGGAAAUCAUGAAGUCUUUCUUGUCUUCCUCUUUUGAAAUAUUUUGGAAGGCGAGUUAAGAAUAGCUCAGAAACUGGUCUCAUUCUUUUUGUGGGAAGAAUGACCAGAAGCAUAAAAGCUAAGUCUUCCAGCAAGUGCAAGACACCUCUUUUGGUGUUUGCAGUAAACCUAACAAGAAUGAAUUGCUAUCAGUAAAGUCCUGUACCAUGACACCUAAAAGGAAGGAAAUGGUAAAGCAAAGUAAUAACUCAAAGACAGUCACCGAGGGCUUUUGUCCACCUUUAACUCAUUGUGGAACUUGACAUCAUCAGACAGUAAAUCAAGAGGUACUGACAACUGAGACUGAGUGAUGGUCCCUGCCUAGGAUUUGGAAUCUUUGCAUGAAAUAGGGACUCUAGCCACCAGCGACAAAGAAGUCAGGGAGACUGCGGUCUCUAGGAAGCACUUCCAGGAAACAGGAAUUCAGGCAAAGUUGGACAUUCCAAAGAUGGCGUAGAUGAACAUGACCAGGAAGAGCAGGAGGCCGAUGUUAAACAACGCAGGAAGGGACAUCAUCAAAGCAAAGAGCAGCGUGCGGAUCCCCUUUGCUCCUUUGACUAGACGUAGGAUUCGGCCAAUCCUGGCAAGACGGAUCACUCGGAACAGGGUAGCAGAGAUCUCUGGAGGUGAAACAUUGCUCUGAACUGGCAUUGAUUCUAGCCCAGCUCUUGUAGACCAAUUACCAACUUGCAAAGGGUUAUCAACUGUGCUGCACUCUGAGGAGCUUGACCGGUUUAAUCUCUAGAAAGGAAUUCACCACCCCACCAGCACGCGGAACACAAUCAGGAAGGAGUGGAAGAAGUCGUUCAUGUGCCACCGUGGGAGCGUACAGUCAUCAUUGAUCUUGCAGACACAUUCUUUGUAGCUCUUACCAAAGAGCUGCAUGCCGACCACAGCAAAAAUGAAGACGAUGAUGGCCAACACUAAGCCUUUAGACUAAAAAGAAAACAAAUAUUACAUACCCUGAAUCUGUGCUGAAACCACAAAGGAGAGCAUCUUUGGAUCCUUCCAAGUAAUAAAAAUAUUCUGUUGAAGAAGAAUUUGAACAGUUAUAACAUCACAGACUUUAAUCUGUGAUUGUGAUAAAGGAGGUCAAAUUAAAAAAUCUGAUUAUUGGGAGACUUUUGGAGUAAUCAUGGAAGAAAGACUAUGAAAUCAGAUAUUCUUGGAUUUGAAUGUUGCUUCUAUCCCUUCUUAAACAUUCCAUGCUGGAAAAAUCAGACCCCAGAGGUUUGCUGUUAUUGGAACACUGUGCUGCCUGAGAUUUUCAUAAAUUUGCCGUUUCAAAAAGCUGAAAGUACUUACGCAAAAACAAUGACGACAAAAUCCAGCCAGUUCCACGGGUCACGAAGAAAAGUGAAUUCUCCUACACAGAAGCCUCUUGCAAGGAUUUUUACAAGUGAUUCAAAAGUAUAUAUUCCAGUAAAAGUGUACCUAAACACAAGAUUCCAUUGGGAUACUAGAUGUGAAAAGAAUACAACCACCAUGUAAAUCUUUAUAACUUAUUUUCUCUAAUUAACCACUGGAAGACAUAUAUUGGAGGAUGGCUGUUGGGUUAUGGACACACCCUAUUAAACUACAAUAGGUCUAUCCAGAAAAUAUUAAAAUGUCAAUAUCAGAAACACUCCCAGAAAGCAGAGGUACUUGAAAUAACUAAGAAUAUAGGUCUCAGAUCUGCCUAAAAAUUUCCUACAUUGCUUCUAUCAAAAAUUCACCCAAUCAUUUAAAAAUACACCCAUAUAAUUAUAAAACAUACACCCAAGAAUAAAAUAUGUGUAACAUGUCUAAGAACAGGAUGGAGCAUCUGACAAGUUCAUUCUUUGAGAAAACACUGUAGCAUCUAAUUUUUCUAAUCUAGCAGGUUAAUAUCAUAGAGGAGGUAAAGAACAAAAGAAAAGCAAGCAUAUAACAUGGGAAGGUAAAGAUUCCCCAUCUUCAUAAAUGCAGUAACUUCCUGGCAGGAAAAGGAAAGGAUGAAAUGAUAAUACCAAAACUAUAUUAAAAUGUACUUAUACCCACUUACUCGACAUUUUUGGUCCAGUCCGGUGGGUUAUUCAUGGUCAUAAAUAUGCAGUUUGUCAGAAUAGUGCACAUGAUGAGCAUGCUGAAUAAGGUAGCUUAGAAUCAAGGAACAAAAGAGACGACAGUGGGAAUUUGAAAUAUUUGAGGAUGACACUUGUUGAAAUGCUUACAACUUUUCCUAAGAAAAAAAUUCUAAAUGAGCUUGUAGACUAUUUUGUCUCUUUGAACAAGAGAGUAAUAAAUAAAAGUAACAUAUCCUAAAAUCUUAAUAUUGCCACUCUCCCAGUCUUCUCUGAGACCCAUGACAAAUUAUAUUAAUAAUACUGAAAUUAAUAAACUAAAACCAGAGUCUUUCAAGGUGCAAAAGGUAUAACAUCUAUAUUUGAAUAAAAUAGCAAAAAUUACACCAUAAAGUGCCACUGGAUGUAAUCAUUUUUAAAAGGAUAUGAGUGUACUAAAAUCUUAAUAGAUAUUCUUCUUAGAGGACUGAAAGGAGAAAGCAUAUAUAAAGCAGGUGUGGCAUUGAAACGGAAGAUUGUUUUCCCUUUGUUCAAUACUAUGAAAGUCUGCAGGAGGAAAAAGAAAGGAUGAAAUUGAGAAUCCAAAAUAUCAAUUUUUCACAUCAAUAUCAGCAGUUUACCUUUCUACAUGGCAGUGUUAUAUUGAAGAAACACUGCCAUCAGACUCCAGCAAUGUGGUUCCAAUGUCAUCAACGCAUCUAUCAAUGUCACCUUGGCCAAUGAACUCCAAGUCCACUUCUUCAUAGUAACUUUAAAAAUUGAGCUAUUUGUUAGCAUGUAUUGCUUAGAGCUUUCAAAAUACUGUAUUUCAUAUUUUUCAUUUUCUUUCACCAGUAACAAUAACUGUGGUUAAGUUAUUUUAAAGUACAACUUCUUUCCCUUCCAUUACACUGCAUUUUAAGAAAGCCAAAUAGAAACUAGCUAUCUCUAAUAUUUUUAUCAUAAAACCUUGAGAAUUUUAAUACUUGCUGGCAAUUGUUAUGGUUAGCAGCACAUGUUCCAAAAUAUGAGUUAUUUCAAAAAAUAUUUUCCUAAGUUGAAGGAACGUCAGAGUUGGAAGAAUCCUUCCAAUCACUGAGUUCAAUUUCUUUAUUUUAGUUAUAAUACUAAUAUUAGCUUUUAAAAGGGACUUAAAUUAAGAGGAUUCCUCACUUACUAACCACGGUAAUUUAAAAAACGAUAUGAAUAGAAGCAAACAUUCUUGAAAUGUUAUUGUAGCCAUUCCAUAAGUGUCCUUUUCCAUAGCUUUAGUAUUCAGUUAAGAAAUAAAAACAACCAGCAGUAACAACAAAAUAUUAAAGCAACCUAAAGCAUUGGCUUAGAAAUCAGAAAGACAAAGUUCAAAUCCCAGCCUUAUUUUUCUCCGGUUGGCAGGAAGAUGACUUGUGUUAGCUGAAAGACACUGACUUUCUAAAUUUUAUAUAGGGUUAUCAGUGGGUUUCUGGCAAUAAGCAUUUCUCACCGUAUUCAGGAGGUAAGUCUGUGAGUCAGGCUUUUUAUUUGUAUGCGGCAGCGUUCCCUCAAGAAAACAAAUCAGAGUCUAUUGUUUUCAGGUGUCCUUUUAUUUUCCUGCUCCCUUUCACUGUAUCAGUUCUAUCUAAAUACAAUUUAAUGUAAAAUUCACUUUUACAUGGAAAAUUAUUUUAAAAUUAAUACCUAGUCCUCAAGUACAAUCCUUUUUGUCUUAAAUCUCAGUAGACUGUAUUUUUAAAAAAUUAUUCAUCCAUUCUUUCUGCAAUUGUAUUGACAUGGUUUGGCUCUGUGUCCCCGCCCAAAUCUCAUUUUGAAUUGUAAUCCCCACGUCUCAGGGGAGGGACCUGGUGGUAAGUGAUUGGAUCAUGGGAGCGGUUUCCCCAGUGCUGUUCUCAUGAUAGUGAGUGAGUGAGUUCUCAUGAGAUCUGAUGGGUUUAAAAGUGCGGCAUUUCCCUCCUCUUUCUCCCUCUCCUGCACCAUGUUAAGAUGUGCC
Homo sapiens (human) is the source of this 4063-nucleotide long non-coding RNA. Ensembl annotates it as SCN1A and SCN9A antisense RNA 1. Its record names the gene SCN1A-AS1. The record is from Ensembl. NCBI's taxonomy places the organism in Eukaryota, Metazoa, Chordata, Mammalia, Primates, Hominidae.